UACGAGUGCCCCAAGCGUUAUCCGGAAUUAUUGGGCGUAAAGGGUGUGUAGGUGGUUGUGUUAGUCUCAUGUCAAAUUCUUCGGCUUAACCGGGGUACCGCAUGGGAAACGGCACAACUAGAGGAUGCGAGGGGUGAGUGGAACUCAUGGAGUAGGGGUGAAAUCCGUUGAUAUCAUGGGGAACACCGAAAGCGAAGGCAGCUCACUGGCGCACUCCUGACACUGAAACACGAAAGCGUGGGUAGCGAAUGGG
Molecule: ribosomal RNA, 253 nt
Filed under: Nitrosopumilaceae archaeon
Lineage: Archaea; Thermoproteati; Nitrososphaerota; Nitrososphaeria; Nitrosopumilales; Nitrosopumilaceae
Also listed under: 1 other name
Description: partial 16S ribosomal RNA
Rfam family: Bacterial small subunit ribosomal RNA
Source: RNAcentral